CUGCGCCUGUUUCCCUUUUGGGCUCGGCUCUCCCAGCUCACCUGGCAGAUGCGGCAGACGGUGACGGUGCUCGAUGUGGUGCAAGAGCCCACGGGCAGUGAGAGCUGUAAGGCCGGGUGCUGCUGGGGGAUCGGACCAUCACACUGUGUGCCACCACUCCAACUCCCCAACGCUCUGCCCCGCUCACAGCCUUCACUGGAAUCUACACCGAUGCGCUGCCGCCGCAGUGCUGGGCAGCUGACA
Molecule: long non-coding RNA, 243 nt
Filed under: Gallus gallus (chicken)
Lineage: Eukaryota; Metazoa; Chordata; Aves; Galliformes; Phasianidae
Description: long non-coding RNA NONGGAT002081
Source: RNAcentral